This 26-nucleotide non-coding RNA is filed under the name Rattus norvegicus (Norway rat). The record is from RNAcentral. Lineage: Eukaryota; Metazoa; Chordata; Mammalia; Rodentia; Muridae.
AGGGACUCGUUCAAAUGCUCUUGAAA